CUCACUUGACGCCUCAGUAAAAGAUGUUAGGUCACUUGGCCUCUGGUCUCCUAAUCUAAAGUCUGUAUCCAGAGACACUGUGCUACCAUAGGGGGUGCUUGCUACUUUUGUAAAACACCCCUCCCUCACCUCUCCAGGCUGUACCUCUAACAAUUAUUCCCUGUUCCUCAACAGCGCAUUUCCUCUCUCCUGUCAGCAGCUAUUAUGUUCCCUGGAGACCUGCUAUGACAAAAUGGAUCCUCUCCAUCUCCACAAUCAGAAUUUUCCAACUCCAUGUCCCAUUCACUAUUUUGAAAAUCACUUUGAUUUUGAGUGACGGAUACAAUAGAGUUUAGGGCUUCGAGUGUAGUUCCCAGGGUAACAAGUGGUAGUGCCCUUGACGAGUGUAUGCAAGGCCCCAGAGUUCAUCCCAGCACUGUUUGAAAAGUAAGGGCGUGGAGAAAGGCUGUAUAUAAUGUAUGUGAACCAUUUAAAGGACGAUGGAAUGAACAGCAUCCUGUACCCACCACUCAGCUUAGAUAACAGACCUGGAGAACAUGUCUAGGCCCCUCCCCCAUUACUACUCUUCCUUCCACCAGAAGAGGAACCAACAUCCUGAAGUUUGUGUACAUUGUCCCUUUGGUCUUCUUUUUCUUGAUGGUUUUAUCUCCUGCAUAUGCCUAUUUUUGAGCUUUGUAUAAAUUUAACUCAUAUAUACCAUGGUUUUUAAAGUCUCUAUUUUUAUAAUUCAUGCAUAUUUAAUAUGUAUAGUUCUAUCUCUUUCCACUACUGUAUUCUACUGUAUUCUACAAGCACACCAUGAUUCUGUUUAUACAUUUUCCCUUUGGCGGACAUUUGAACAGUUGCAGCUUUCUCACUGAUAAGCAAUACUUUGUGAAUGCUGUAAGGUGUGUAUGUGCUGUGAGGAUCUCUCUAGGAACUGCUAGGAAUGUGUGUGUUCAAACUUAUCGAUGUCAAAGAACAAUAGAGUCUUUAUUACACCUUUAUUAAAUAAAAUCCUGUUCAGCCCUCUCUCCAUCUGCUAAUCAU
RNAcentral lists this long non-coding RNA (1029 nucleotides) under Rattus norvegicus (Norway rat). RNAcentral's name for it is "long non-coding RNA NONRATT008497". The record is from RNAcentral. Lineage: Eukaryota; Metazoa; Chordata; Mammalia; Rodentia; Muridae.